This 275-nucleotide ribosomal RNA is filed under the name uncultured bacterium. Its description in RNAcentral is "partial 16S ribosomal RNA". It matches the Rfam family "Bacterial small subunit ribosomal RNA", at positions 338 to 629 of the family's 1533-position model. The record is from RNAcentral.
CCUACGGGUGGCUGCAGCAAGGAAUUUUCCGCAAUGGGCGCAAGCCUGACGGAGCAACGCCGCGUGGGGGAGGACGCCCUUCGGGGUGUAAACCCCUUUUCUCGGGGACGACGGACGACGGUACCCGAGGAAGAAGGCCCGGCUAACUACGUGCCAGCAGCCGCGGUAAUACGUAGGGGCCGAGCGUUGUCCGGAGUUACUGGGCGUAAAGCGCGCGCAGGCGGCCGGCCAAGUCUGGCGUGAAAGCCCCCGGCUCAACCGGGGAGGGUCGCCGG